UACGUAGGGUGCAAGCAUUAAUCGGAAUUAUUGGGCGUAAAGGGCGCGUAGGCGGAGAUGUAAGUCAGAUGUGAAAUCCCGGGGCUCAACCCCGGAACAGUAUUUGAAACUGCGUUUCUAGAGGGUAGGCGGAGAAAACUGAAUUCCACUAGUAGCGUUGAAAUGCGUAGAUAUGUGGAAGAACACCAGUGGCGAAGGCGGUUUUCUAGCUUAUACCUGACGCUAAUGCGCGAAAGCACCGGGAGCAACCAGG
RNAcentral lists this ribosomal RNA (253 nucleotides) under uncultured bacterium. RNAcentral's name for it is "partial 16S ribosomal RNA". It matches the Rfam family "Bacterial small subunit ribosomal RNA", at positions 524 to 776 of the family's 1533-position model. The record is from RNAcentral.